CUCAGAAGCUGAAGGUACUUCACGGUUACCGUGUGACCCAGGAGGGCAAUGGCCUGUGUCUAGUCUCCGCUGGCCCCUGCUUGGUGAUGAAGAACAUUUCAAGUGUUGGGUGCCUGGCAUUACACAGAUAAAGGAGGCAGAGUCCUUGAGCUUUGGAGCAUUUGUAAUUCAGAAGUGAAGGCAGAUGCCAACACAUGUAGUACAAGAACUGUUUGAAAGGAAGAGUCAUCGAAGUGCCUGCCCGGUGGACUUUCAGCUAUGUUAAUUCAUGGUGACUACUCAUACAACUAUUCUGUUUUCCACUUUCGGAAAACUCAGCGUACUUAAUUGUUUAGGUCAAGCGGUCCCUUGUUUCCGUCAUAAAGAAAGGGAUAAAGAAGAAACAGAGGACUUCUGCUUUCCAAUGACUUACAUCAUCGUGCAGACAGUUGGCAGCUAA
This 439-nucleotide long non-coding RNA is filed under the name Fukomys damarensis (Damara mole-rat). RNAcentral describes it as "lncRNA (ENSFDAG00000023533.1)". The record is from RNAcentral. Lineage: Eukaryota; Metazoa; Chordata; Mammalia; Rodentia; Bathyergidae.